This 497-nucleotide ribosomal RNA is filed under the name uncultured bacterium. RNAcentral's name for it is "partial 16S ribosomal RNA". It matches the Rfam family "Bacterial small subunit ribosomal RNA", at positions 28 to 507 of the family's 1533-position model. The record is from RNAcentral.
GAUGAACGCUGGCGGCGUGCCUAAUACAUGCAAGUAGAACGCUGAAGCUUGGUGCUUGCACCGAGCGGAUGAGUUGCGAACGGGUGAGUAACGCGUAGGUAACCUGCCUCUUAGCGGGGGAUAACUAUUGGAAACGAUAGCUAAUACCGCAUAAAAGUCGAUAUCGCAUGAUAUUGAUUUGAAAGGUGCAAAUGCAUCACUAAGAGAUGGACCUGCGUUGUAUUAGCUAGUUGGUGAGGUAACGGCUCACCAAGGCGACGAUACAUAGCCGACCUGAGAGGGUGAUCGGCCACACUGGGACUGAGACACGGCCCAGACUCCUACGGGAGGCAGCAGUAGGGAAUCUUCGGCAAUGGGGGCAACCCUGACCGAGCAACGCCGCGUGAGUGAAGAAGGGUGUCGGAUCGUAAAGCUCUGUUGUAAGAGAAGAACGAGUGUGAGAGUGGAAAGUUCACACUGUGACGGUAACUUACCAGAAAGGGACGGCUAACUACGUG